RNAcentral lists this transfer RNA (74 nucleotides) under Tuber melanosporum (Perigord truffle). RNAcentral's name for it is "tRNA-Pro (AGG) (tRNA-Pro-AGG-3-1)". It matches the Rfam family "tRNA". From Rfam's summary of the family: Transfer RNA (tRNA) molecules are approximately 80 nucleotides in length. Their secondary structure includes four short double-helical elements and three loops (D, anti-codon, and T loops). Lineage: Eukaryota; Fungi; Ascomycota; Pezizomycetes; Pezizales; Tuberaceae. The record is from RNAcentral.
GAUUUGGUGGCCGAGUGGUUAAGGCGUUACGUUUAGGAUUCGAAAGAGCGCGAGUUCGAAUCUCGUCCAAAUCA